Molecule: unclassified non-coding RNA, 218 nt
Filed under: soil metagenome
Description: partial contains 5.8S ribosomal RNA, internal transcribed spacer 2, and large subunit ribosomal RNA
Source: RNAcentral
AACACUGUUAACCUGCGGUACCUGCGGAAGGAUCAUUACACAAUAAUAUAUGAAGGCUGCUCGCGGCUGGAGUAUUUAUUACCCUUGUCUUUUGCGCACUUGUUGUUUCCUGGGCGGGCUCGCCCGCCACCAGGACCACAUACAAACCUUUUUUAUGUAGUUGCAAUCAGCGUCAGUAUAACAAAUGUAAAUCAUUUACAACUUUUAACAACGGAUCU